RNAcentral lists this ribosomal RNA (251 nucleotides) under Cyclobacteriaceae bacterium. RNAcentral's name for it is "partial 16S ribosomal RNA". It matches the Rfam family "Bacterial small subunit ribosomal RNA", at positions 1 to 249 of the family's 1533-position model. The record is from RNAcentral. Lineage: Bacteria; Pseudomonadati; Bacteroidota; Cytophagia; Cytophagales; Cyclobacteriaceae.
ACUAUGGAGAGUUUGAUCCUGGCUCAGGAUGAACGCUAGCGGCAGGCCUAAUACAUGCAAGACGAACGGUAGAUUUGGUAGCAAUACUGAAUUGAGAGUGUCGUAAGGGUGCGUAACACGUAUGCAAUCUGCCCUCAACAGGAGUAUAGCUCGGGGAAACUCGGAUUAACACUCCAUAGCAUUGCGGUGUGGCAUCACACUGCGAUUAAAACUUUGGUGGUUGAGGAUGAGCAUGCGUCUGAUUAGUUAGU